UCAUGUAAAAAAUAAUGUUUAUAUAUUAUGAUAUCAAAUUGAUUGUUUUUAUUAACAAUACGGGCU
This 66-nucleotide transfer RNA is filed under the name Echeneibothrium multiloculatum. Its description in RNAcentral is "tRNA-Ser". The record is from RNAcentral. Lineage: Eukaryota; Metazoa; Platyhelminthes; Cestoda; Rhinebothriidea; Echeneibothriidae.